UACGGAGGGUGCAAGCGUUGUCCGGAUUUAUUGGGUUUAAAGGGUGCGUAGGUGGCUUGUUAAGUCCGGGGUGAAAGCCCACAGCUCAACUGUGGAACUGCCCUGGAUACUGGCGAGCUUGAGUCCAGACGAGGUUGGCGGAAUGGAAGCUGUAGCGGUGAAAUGCAUAGAUAGCUUCCAGAACCCCGAUUGCGUAGGCAGCUGACUAGGCUGGUACUGACACUGAGGCACGAAAGCAUGGGGAGCGAACAGG
RNAcentral lists this ribosomal RNA (253 nucleotides) under uncultured bacterium. RNAcentral describes it as "partial 16S ribosomal RNA". It matches the Rfam family "Bacterial small subunit ribosomal RNA", at positions 524 to 776 of the family's 1533-position model. The record is from RNAcentral.